AGAGUUUGAUCAUGGCUCAGGAUAAACGCUGGCGGCGCACAUAAGACAUGCAAGUCGAACGGAAGUCGUUACGAAAUGGAAUGAAGAUUUAUCUGAUUGAAGUUUUGUAACAAUGGCUUUAGUGGCGGACUGGUGAGUAACACGUAAGCAAUCUACCUAUUAGAGGGGAAUAACAAUGAGAAAUCAUUGCUAAUACCGCAUAAGCUUGUAGUACCGCAUGGUACAGCAAGAAAAGGAGCAAUCCGCUAAUAGAUGAGCUUGCGGCUGAUUAGCUAGUUGGUGUGGUAACGGCAUACCAAGGCAACGAUCAGUAGCCGGGCUGAGAGGCUCUUCGGCCACAUUGGGACUGAGAUACGGCCCAGACUCCUACGGGAGGCAGCAGUCGGGAAUUUUGCGCAAUGGAGGAAACUCUGACGCAGUGACGCCGCGUAUAGGAAGAAGGUUUUCGGAUUGUAAACUAUUUUAGUCAGGGAAGAAAAAUGACAGUACCUGAAGAAUAAGCUCCGGCUAACUACGUGCCAGCAGCCGCGGUAAUACGUAGGGAGCAAGCGUUAUCCGGAUUUAUUGGGUGUAAAGGGUGCGUAGACGGGAAGACAAGUUGGUUGUGAAAGCCCUCGGCUCAACUGAGGAACUGCAACCAAAACUAUCAUUCUUGAGUGCGGGAGAGGAAAGUGGAAUUCCUAGUGUAGCGGUGAAAUGCGUAGAUAUUAGGAGGAACACCAGUGGCGAAGGCGACUUUCUGGACCGUAACUGACGUUGAGGCACGAAAGUGUGGAGAGCAAACAGGAUUAGAUACCCUGGUAGUCCACACCGUAAACGAUGGAUACUAGGUGUAGGGAACGAUAUGUUUUCUGUGCCGAAAGCAAACGCAAUAAGUAUCCCACCUGGGGAGUACGGCCGCAAGGUUGAAACUCAAAGGAAUUGACGGGGGCCCGCACAAGCGGUGGAGUAUGUGGUUUAAUUCGACGCAACGCGAAGAACCUUACCAGGGCUUGACAUUGAGUGAAAGGACAAGAGAUUGUCCCCUCUCUUCGGAGACACGAAAACAGGUGGUGCAUGGCUGUCGUCAGCUCGUGUCGUGAGACGUUGGGUUAAGUCCCGCAACGAGCGCAACCCCUAUUCUUUGUUGCCAGCACGUAAUGGUGGGAACUCAAAGGAGACUGCCGCGGACAACGCGGAGGAAGGCGGGGAUGACGUCAAGUCAUCAUGCCCCUUAUGUCCUGGGCUACACACGUACUACAAUGGGAUGGACAGAGAGCAGCGAAGCCGCGAGGCCAAGCGAACCCCAUAAACCAUCUCCCAGUUCGGAUUGCAGGCUGCAACCCGCCUGCAUGAAGUUGGAAUCGCUAGUAAUCGCAGGUCAGCAUACUGCGGUGAAUACGUUCCCGGGCCUUGUACACACCGCCCGUCACACCACGGAAGUCAUUCACACCCGAAGCCGGCAGGCUAACCUUUUGGAGGCAGCCGUCUAAGGUGGGGGCGAUGACUGGGGUGAAGUCGUAACAAGGUA
RNAcentral lists this ribosomal RNA (1510 nucleotides) under metagenome. Its description in RNAcentral is "bacterial SSU rRNA". It matches the Rfam family "Bacterial small subunit ribosomal RNA". The record is from RNAcentral.